This 559-nucleotide long non-coding RNA is filed under the name Sorghum bicolor (sorghum). Its description in RNAcentral is "long non-coding RNA (SBIC_LNC015311)". Lineage: Eukaryota; Viridiplantae; Streptophyta; Magnoliopsida; Poales; Poaceae. The record is from RNAcentral.
AAGUAGACCACCCUAAGAACAAACAAACAUCAACCAAACAAAUAGCAGUUAACCGAUACCACUAUCAACACCAAUAUGGAAAAAGGUAAUCUAAACACAUGCCUUUCUUCUUCCUCUUUUUCUUUUUACAAGCUUUUGGUAAAUCUAAUUUCUUCCUAUGAGAGGAAUUCUUGAAUCCAUGACUGUUGGUUCCUGAGCUGUCUCUGACAAAUGUCUUGUGUCUCCAUUUGCCUGCUUCCAGCUCCCCCUCGACUCCCGGAACGACUUGAGAAGCUCGUCAUAGUCUGGGGUUCGCAACUCCUCUAUUGACUCCACACUUGGCAGGUCGAUCUGCCUUCUCCUUGGCGUCGAACACGAGGGUUCAUCCACCUGUUCAAUUUCAAGGUGCAGUGGCGAGUUCAUCAGUCAGAAAUAAAAGAGCACAUGCAUUAUCUUGACAUGUUUUAGCCUUUUCAUGACUGCUCACCAGAUACUCUUCCUCAAGGCAUUUCCCAGCGUUUUCACUGAUCUCCACAACCUUGUGGUGAUGCUCCCCCUUCAGCUCCCUCAUUUCCCCAUG